CUAAAAGCAUAUAUUUUAUCAUAAAUAUUUUUAAAAGGCGAGCAUUAACUGGUUUUUUUUAUUGCAAAACCAUAAUUAACAAUCAAUUAUUAUUACACUUAUCUUCCAAAUAGGGAAGUGAUUGAAACUAAAUUACCAUGAUCUCUGCUAGAGGAAGUUAUGCUUUCAAUUAAAAAUAAGAAGAGUGCAAUUGUAAUUGAAAUGAAACUCAAGGAUGAUUUGUCGGUGCAUUUUAUUGAACUCAUCCUUAUAUUCAUAGGGGACAUAUAAGAAAAUCCCUAUGUUAAAUAGAAAACGAAGGAAGGGAGAGAAAGAUGGUAAUAAUAUUGAGGUCUGAGUCGGAGUCUCAGGUGGGGGUUUGGGGAGUGACAUUUAGAUCCAAACUCAAGUCGUCUUCUUCCUUCUCAUUCUGAUUACUCAUUCUGGUUGCCUCCUUCACAUCCUGCAUGAUAUCUUUCUCCAACGCUGCCACGUCCUCGCCGUGGCUCUUGAAGUACUUCACCGCCGUGUUUAUUCGGCGGAGAAUGGCGCAGAACUCCUCCACCUCCUCAUCCGUCACAGCCUCAUCCUCACGCGCCUUCUUCUGCUGCUGGCUCCCCGAAACGGCGUCGUCUUCGCCUUGCUUCCUCUUGUCCUUGGCGCCAGACAUGUCACCGCUGCUUUCUCGUAACGUAAAAUUGUUCUUUGCUUGCGAUUGGUGGUCGUGGCCGGGUCCGCUGUUUUAAAGAAUGCUAAGGCAGUAAUAUCGUCCCUUGCCGUCAAUGAUGCCUUUCUCACACCCAAUAGAUGGGAUACACGUGCUCUUUUGUUAUGCUGUCUGUUGGUUGGCUCAGAAUUUUUUCAUUUUAUAAUAAAAUAAUUACU
This 864-nucleotide long non-coding RNA is filed under the name Glycine max (soybean). Its description in RNAcentral is "long non-coding RNA (GMAX_LNC004593)". The record is from RNAcentral. Lineage: Eukaryota; Viridiplantae; Streptophyta; Magnoliopsida; Fabales; Fabaceae.